RNAcentral lists this ribosomal RNA (464 nucleotides) under uncultured bacterium. Its description in RNAcentral is "partial 16S ribosomal RNA". It matches the Rfam family "Bacterial small subunit ribosomal RNA", at positions 339 to 795 of the family's 1533-position model. The record is from RNAcentral.
CUACGGGCGGCAGCAGUCGAGAAUCUUUUGCAAUGCGCGAAAGCGUGACAAUGCGACGCCGCGUGAGCGAUGAAGCCCUUCGGGGUGUAAAGCUCUGUCAGCCCGGAUGAAUAUUUAUUUUUUAAUAGGAAAUAGAAAUGACAGUACGGGCAGAGGAAGCCACGGCUAACUCCGUGCCAGCAGCCGCGGUAAUACGGAGGUGGCAAGCGUUGUUCGGAUUCAUUGGGCGUAAAGGGUAUGUAGGUUUCCUGAUGAGUCGAAUGUGAAAUCCCUUGGCUUAACCAAGGAACUGCAUUCGAUACUGUGAGGAUUGAGUAUGGAAGAGGAGAGUGGAAUUCCCGGUGUAAGGGUGAAAUCUGUAGAUAUCGGGAGGAACACCAGUGGCGAAAGCGGCUCUCUGGUCCAAUACUGACACUGAAAUACGAAAGCAAGGGGAGCAAACAGGAUUAGAUACCCCUGUAGUC